This 157-nucleotide ribosomal RNA is filed under the name uncultured bacterium. RNAcentral describes it as "partial 16S ribosomal RNA". It matches the Rfam family "Bacterial small subunit ribosomal RNA", at positions 355 to 509 of the family's 1533-position model. The record is from RNAcentral.
UGAGGAAUAUUGGUCAAUGGGCGGAAGCCUGAACCAGCCAAGUCGCGUGAGGGAAGACGGCCCUACGGGUUGUAAACCUCUUUUGCCGGGGAGCAAUGCCCAGCUCGCGAGCUGGGAAGGAGAGUACCCGGNGAAAAGCAUCGGCUAACUCCGUGCC